RNAcentral lists this microRNA (21 nucleotides) under Mus musculus (house mouse). RNAcentral describes it as "mmu-miR-6936-3p". Lineage: Eukaryota; Metazoa; Chordata; Mammalia; Rodentia; Muridae. The record is from miRBase by way of RNAcentral.
CGGCGCGCGCGGUCGCUCACC